RNAcentral lists this ribosomal RNA (54 nucleotides) under Garcinia mangostana. RNAcentral describes it as "partial 28S ribosomal RNA". The record is from RNAcentral. Lineage: Eukaryota; Viridiplantae; Streptophyta; Magnoliopsida; Malpighiales; Clusiaceae.
AGCGGACCCCAGGUCAGGCGAGACUACCCGCUGAGUUCUAAGCAUAUCAAUAAG